CGAAGCCCCAGUGAACGGCGGCCGUAACUAUAACGGUCCUAAGGUAGCGAAAUUCCUUGUCAGGUAAGUUCUGACCCGCAUGAAAGGCGUAAUGAUUUGGGCACUGUCUCAACAGCCCGCCCGGCGAAAUUGUAGUACCGGUGAAGAUGCCGGUUACCCGCGACAAGACGGAAAGACCCCAUGGAGCUUUACUGUAGCCUAAUAUUGGGUUUCGAUGUUGCAUGCACAGGAUAGAUGGGACACUAGGAAGCAGGUGCUUUGGCGCUUGUGGAGUGGCCGUUGGGAUACCAUCCUUGCGAUAUUGGAAUUCUAACCUGCGCCUUUGAAUCAAGGCGGGGGACAUUGUUAGGUGGGCAGUUUGACUGGGGCGGUCGCCUCCUAAAGAGUAACGGAGGCGUUCAAAGGUUCGCUCAGCUUGAACGGAAAUCAAGCAAAAGAGUGCAAACGCAGAAGCGAGCCUAACUGCGAGACUGACGGGUCGAGCAGUAACGAAAGUUGGAGUUAGUGAUCCGGUGGUAUGUGAGUGGAAAUGCCAUCGCUCAACGGAUAAAAGUUACCCUGGGGAUAACAGGCUGAUCUCCCCCAAGAGUCCACAUCGACGGGGAGGUUUGGCACCUCGAUGUCGGCUCAUCGCAUCCUGGGGCUGUAUUCGGUCCCAAGGGUUUGGCUGUUCGCCAAUUAAAGCGGUACGCGAGCUGGGUUCAGAACGUCGUGAGACAGUUCGGUCCCUAUCUGUCGUGGGCGCAGGAUAUUUGAUGGGAGCUGUUCCUAGUACGAGAGGACCGGAGCGGACGUACCUCUGGCGCACCAGUUGUUCUGCCAAGAGCAUAGCUGGGCAACUAUGUACGGAUCGGAUAAACGCUGAAAGCAUCUAAGCGUGAAGCCGACCCAAAGAUAAGAUAUCCCAUUGUUUCAAACAAGUAAGACCCCUUGAAGACUACAAGGUUGAUAGGCACGAUGUGUAAGUGGAGUGAUCCAUUCAGCAAGCGUGUACUAAUAGGUCGAGGGCUUGACCAC
Molecule: ribosomal RNA, 1017 nt
Filed under: human gut metagenome
Description: bacterial LSU rRNA
Rfam family: Bacterial large subunit ribosomal RNA
Source: RNAcentral